This 253-nucleotide ribosomal RNA is filed under the name uncultured bacterium. Its description in RNAcentral is "partial 16S ribosomal RNA". It matches the Rfam family "Bacterial small subunit ribosomal RNA", at positions 524 to 776 of the family's 1533-position model. The record is from RNAcentral.
UACGUAGGGUCCGAGCGUUGUCCGGAGUUACUGGGCGUAAAGGGCGCGCAGGCGGCGGUGCUGGCCCGGCGUGAAAGCCCCCGGCUCAACCGGGGAGGGUCGUCGGGGACCGCACCGCUUGAGGGCGGUAGGGGCCGGUGGAAUGCCUGGUGUAGUGGUGAAAUACGUAGAGAUCAGGCAGAGCACCUGGGGCGAAGGCGGCCGGCUGGGCCGUCCCUGACGCUGAGGCGCGAAGGCGUGGGGAGCGAACGGG